UUUUUCUUAUUUUCUUUUUCUUUUUUUACUGCCGAUUUAUGCUCCUCUUUUCGUUUGUUGUCUGUUUUUGCUGCUCGUUUGUUCGUCUCUUGCAAGUACGGAGAACAGGGCUGGGGACGUGGCGUGUACGGAGGCAAAGGCGCACGCAUGAGGGCAGAGGCUUGGCACGCGCGGAGGAGUUGGGCUGCUGCGGCGCUGGGGCUUGCUCGCUGCUAGGGUUUCUGCCAUUAGGUUGGGAUUUGGGCUGAGUUGGGCCAUUAGGUGUUUAAGAUAGUGGGCCGAAUUGGGCUGGUAGUUUGGGUUAUUUUUGGACUGCUAUUUUAUUUAGUAUUUUUUAGCUAUUGGGCCAAUGUAAAUGGACUUUAAUAAAUUUGUUUUUAUUUUUAUUAGGCCGGGCAAAUUGGUUAUUA
RNAcentral lists this long non-coding RNA (410 nucleotides) under Gossypium raimondii (Peruvian cotton). RNAcentral's name for it is "long non-coding RNA (GRAI_LNC010661)". The record is from RNAcentral. Lineage: Eukaryota; Viridiplantae; Streptophyta; Magnoliopsida; Malvales; Malvaceae.